GAUGAACGCUAGCUACAGGCUUAACACAUGCAAGUCGAGGGGAAACGAUAGAGAAAGCUUGCUUUUUCUAGGCGUCGACCGGCGCACGGGUGAGUAACGCGUAUCCAACCUGCCCAUCACUUGGGGAUAACCUUGCGAAAGUAAGACUAAUACCCAAUGACGUCUCUAGAAGACAUCUGAAGGAGAUUAAAGAUUUAUCGGUGAUGGAUGGGGAUGCGUCUGAUUAGCUUGUUGGCGGGGUAACGGCCCACCAAGGCGACGAUCAGUAGGGGUUCUGAGAGGAAGGCCCCCCACAUUGGAACUGAGACACGGUCCAAACUCCUACGGGAGGCAGCAGUGAGGAAUAUUGGUCAAUGGACGAGAGUCUGAACCAGCCAAGUAGCGUGCAGGAUGACGGCCCUAUGGGUUGUAAACUGCUUUUAUAAGGGAAUAAAGUGAGUCUCGUGAGGCUUUUUGCAUGUACCUUAUGAAUAAGGACCGGCUAAUUCCGUGCCAGCAGCCG
RNAcentral lists this ribosomal RNA (502 nucleotides) under uncultured bacterium. RNAcentral describes it as "bacterial SSU rRNA". It matches the Rfam family "Bacterial small subunit ribosomal RNA", at positions 28 to 517 of the family's 1533-position model. The record is from RNAcentral.